GAGUCUGACUUUUAAAGGUCUCCUCCCUGGAAGAAGGCAGAGAUGGGGUGUUGCUCUGUUUACCAGGCAGGCCCCAAACCCAGGGGCUCAAAGGAUCUUCCUGCCUCAGCCUCCUGAAUAGCUCGGACAAGAGAUACAUGCCACCAUGCUCUCAGGCUGAGGUUCUGCAUUUCUAAAAUGCUUUUGGAUCAUGCCAUUGCUGCUGGCUGGAGGACCACACUUUGAAAAGUAAAGCUUUGGAAGUCGUUUGAUUAAUUCUCACUGCACUUGAUUUAUAGAUGGAGAGAAGAAAGACUGGAGAGAGAAUGUAAACUCACCUUCUUGCACUUAAGCCCCGAGCUGCUUAGUCCAGCGAACACUCCCUACAUCCUGAGGCCCCCUUUCCUGUUAGUGCCACCUUCUUAGUUGAGGAACUCAAAACUCCCAUAUUAACCACCCCCAUUCGUAUUUGCUCAAGGUGUCCUUUUGGUUACUCCCUUACUCAGAUUUUUCGAUGGCUCUUCUGAAAUCAAUUACAAGAUCAAGUUCAAACGUC
This is a non-coding RNA of Marmota flaviventris (yellow-bellied marmot), 535 nucleotides long. Lineage: Eukaryota; Metazoa; Chordata; Mammalia; Rodentia; Sciuridae. The record is from RefSeq and is a predicted model, not a curated record.